RNAcentral lists this unclassified non-coding RNA (259 nucleotides) under Hevea brasiliensis (rubber tree). Lineage: Eukaryota; Viridiplantae; Streptophyta; Magnoliopsida; Malpighiales; Euphorbiaceae. The record is from RNAcentral.
UCCAGGUCGCCUCCUUACUCUCCUCCUCCUUAUGGCGGCAGCCCGGAUAGGAGGUAUCCUCGUGGCUCUAGGUGAGGCCGGUUUUAAUGUACUUUCGAGGUUGCUGUUAGUUAAGGACCACGGUGGAUGGUUGUUUGUGUACUCGAAUGUUUGUAUCUGCCUCAUAGUUGUAAGCAGUCGAACUGGCCGAAUGUUAUCAUCAUUUUGCUCUUUUAGUUCGUUCUCUAGUGAACAAUAUGGUUAUAAAUAUUGGUUUGUG